CGAGAACCUAGUUUACAACCCCCUCCCAGAUGUGAAUCAAUGGUGUGAUACAAAAAUGAGAAGUGUUUCUGUUAUGAGAUGCGAUAUGAGGUAAGUUUCACAAAGAUCAAUAAUGUAGCUGUUUAUUAAAAUUUUAAAAAAAUCACAAUAUGACAGAAAUGGCAAUCAAUUCCAUAUUUGAUUAAAUAUAAAUCAGUCAGAUGAGGAUAAAUCGAGCUGCCACAUAUUGGUAUUGCUCAUGCAUAGCAGGUAGAGUGGCAUGCAGAGAAGGGUCCGACUGCAGCCAGUAAACAACAAUGGACCUGAUCGAACAACUCAGCGCUUCUGCUCUUUUCUGUCCAUAAGAAACAAAUGGAUUGGUGGAAGAGGCAGGCCAGGAGCAAGGUGGUCAAGUAAGGCAUCCCCGGAGGCUAAAUGCCCUAAGGUCUGUCCCUGGCCUGUCCCACAGCUUCCUUCAGUGAUGGGUUCCGAUUCAUCUGCUGUGGUGAGGCUGUUAUCCAGGCUGGUAGGGCGUAUUCAAAGAGGGAUCGGAUGUAGCUGAUGUAGACUUUCAGCACUGUCUGAGGUGAGGCUCCAUAUUUUCUUUCGCACAGCGUUUUUAGGUGGUUUAGUCUUUUUCGUCCCUGUCUCUCUAUGUUCGCUAUAUGGGUUGUCCAGCGCAUGUUCUUCUGGAAGGUGACUCCAAGGAAUUUUGCUUCUUUUUCUACUUUUAUUGUUUCACCGUAGAGUUUGAGAUCUAUGGGUUUCCUGUUUUUUUUUUGCUGGUGCUUCUUGUGAAGAGGACACAUUGGGUCUUUUGUGGGUUCAAUUUUACUCGCCACAUGUUAGACCAUGUCUCGAUCAUUUCAAUAGACUUCUGGAGUUUUUUUGCAGCAAGUUGAGGACAUUUGGAGCUGGACCAGUAGCAGAGGUUAUCGGCAAAUUGCGAGACUUGACCUAUGGUGGGUGGAGGGUAAUAAAUAUCUGAUAUGUAGAGUAGAAAAAGUAGUGGGCUUAGAACUGCCCCCUGUGGGACACCUGCUUCAGGGGUAAAAGGUGAGGAUAUUGCUGUGGAAGCCUUCACUUUAAUUGUACGAUUGUGGAGAAAGCUAGUGAUGAUGUUUCUGAUGGAGGUGGUAGUUUGAGAUUGGAGUCUGCAAGCCGGUAACACAACCCAUUGUGCCACAUCUUGUCAAAUGAUUUUUCUAUAUCAAAGAAAACCACCAGGGUAAGUGAUUUUUUCUUGAAGUUCCCGAAGGAUGUCCUCUGGCAGUCUUAGAACGUUAUCGGUGUUUGAUUUUGUUUUCCUGAAGCCAGCUUGGUGGAUUCCAAGGAGGCCCAUUUCCUCAGUGUGGCUGCUCAGUCUUUGUGAGUACUCUCUCAAACAGCUUCCCGACAUGACUGAGGAGGCUGAUUGGUCUAUAACUUGUGACGUUGUAUGGGUCUUUGCCAGGUUUGUGGAUCAUUGUGACAACUGCAGAUUUCCAAGGUAGGGGAAAGUAGCCUUCCGUGAGACAUUCUGUGAAGAGGUUAGAAAGAAGGUGCAGGUAUUCAUCAGGUGAUUGUUUGAUGAGUGUGCUGUCAAUGUUGUCUUCCCCAGGUGCUUUGUCUUUUUCAAGUGAGUUUUGAUUUCUUCAAUAGUUUUUUACAUUUUUUUAUUUAUUUUACCUUUAUUUUACUAGGCAAGUCAGUUAAGAACAAAUUCUUAUUUUCAAUGAUGGCCUAGGAACAGUGGGUUAACUGCCUGUUCAGGGGCAGAAUGACAGAUUUGUACCUUGUCAGCUCAGCGGAUUUGAACUUGCAACCUUUCGGUUACUAGUCCAACGCUCUAACCACUAGGCUACCCUGCCGCAGAGCAGGUGAGGGGAUGGUCUACUGGUGUCGGAUUUGAAGUGUAAACUGUUUUCUGUAUUUCUCUGUCGACAAUGUUUUUCCAGUCUUUGUCAAAGAGAGGAUCGUCGGGACAAGAAUGAACAUUUUGUAGGUGGUUUCUGAAUAAUGUUGCUUUUGUUUCGUUGUCUUCGAUGAGUUGGUUUUGAGACUUUAGCACAGGCAUGAUAUUAUUGGUUUUGUCUCCGUUAAUUGUUUAGAUUUAGAGAAGCUAAGGAGUUUAGCAGCCAAGUCCGGGGAGCAGAGGACAAGAUCAAGGAUGUCUGCCAUGGAGGUUGAAGAAUGGAUGUGUGUGGGCUCGUUGGUGUUGAGGAUAGCCAGGUUUGUGCUGUCGAGGAUAUCCCUUAGUACUCAUCCCGCGUGAUUUGUAGUAUCACAGUUGAAGUCAAUGUGUUUGGCAUUAAAAUCUCCCAUUAUGAUGGUAUGGCUGUUGUUGUCUAGAAGGGCAGCGAUCAAUUUUUUGGAGGGUGUUGUUGCGGGUGGACAGUAUAUAGUGGCUACCAGAAGAGUUGUUUGUGCAUUUAGGAGUAUUUUUGCUGCAGUGUACUCAUUGUUGUUGAGUUCUUCUUUGGUGAGGUUGAAAAUGGCGGUUAGCUAUCUCUCUGCCUUCUCGCUGCCAUACUCCUGGUCACUACCAGAUGGUGCUAUUUUACCUACCAGGCUUUGCCAAUUACCCUCAGCUUCAGGUUGUUGACCCUAAAAACAGGGUCAGAUAUUUAUCAUCCCUCCAAUGCAGGAUUCAGGUCAGGAUUGUCGGUAGAGUAAUCUGAUCCUAGAGCUGUUGUUAGGUUAAACUUAUAUUUAAAGUAUAAUAUAUGCAUGACCCCAGUGGGAAUGUUAUGGAAUUAUAACACCAUUAUUACAACAAAUAAAUUAUUAUAAUGAUUGUAAUUUUUGUAAUUAUUUUCAGUGUGGUGAGG
Oncorhynchus tshawytscha (Chinook salmon) is the source of this 2789-nucleotide long non-coding RNA. The record is from Ensembl. NCBI's taxonomy places the organism in Eukaryota, Metazoa, Chordata, Actinopteri, Salmoniformes, Salmonidae.